This 73-nucleotide transfer RNA is filed under the name Stegodyphus mimosarum. It matches the Rfam family "tRNA". From Rfam's summary of the family: Transfer RNA (tRNA) molecules are approximately 80 nucleotides in length. Their secondary structure includes four short double-helical elements and three loops (D, anti-codon, and T loops). Lineage: Eukaryota; Metazoa; Arthropoda; Arachnida; Araneae; Eresidae. The record is from Rfam by way of RNAcentral.
GCCUUAAUGGUGUUGUGGUCAGCACACUCGGCUCGUAUUCGAGAGAUCCGUGGUUCGAAUCCCUGCCAAGGCA